AAAGGGAGCGUAGGCGGCUGAUUAAGUCAGCGGUGAAAGGUAGCAGCUUAACUGUUUUACAUGCCGUUGAUACUGGUUAGCUUGAGUUGACAGAAGGCAGAUAGAAUUCCUGGUGUAGCGGUGAAAUGCUUAGAUACCAGGAGGAAUACCGAUUGCGAAGGCAGUCUGCUGCAGUCACACUGACGCUGAGGCUCGAAGGUGCGGGGAUCAAACAGGAUUAGAUACCUGGU
RNAcentral lists this ribosomal RNA (230 nucleotides) under uncultured bacterium. RNAcentral's name for it is "partial 16S ribosomal RNA". It matches the Rfam family "Bacterial small subunit ribosomal RNA", at positions 562 to 791 of the family's 1533-position model. The record is from RNAcentral.